UUGGAGAUCAUGGAGAGUCAAAGGGUCUAGUGUGAUAUAUUUAGAGAUUAUUUGGGAGCUCUAAUAUGAGAUAAUAUAAGUGCAUUUUGAUUUGUAUGUUGUGAUCCAGCUUUUAUUAAUUGGAGAGAAUGAUGUUAAAUAUGAGUACUCUUAUGAAUUAUCAAUUUAUGGAUCGAAACAAAAUAUUAAAAUUGAACAUAUUGAUUAUUACUUAACUAAUCCUCACCUCUUAUAAUAUGCUAUUGGAAUUUUUAAAAUUCACCAUCAAAUUUUCCAUUAAAAAGACACAUGUAUUCGCAAGUGAUCUCCAUUGGUCGAGAGCGCGUGGGCUAUGACCGUUUCUCGGUCACCGCUGUUGCGUACUGCAAUCCAAACGUCACCCCUUCUCCAACCUCACGAUCAUUGAAUAUCACCAGCCAGAACAUUUUUGAAUUACUACAUUACCCUUCACUUUUAGGAGAAUAUAUAAUUUUUUUUGAUCAUUUUUAUAAGUUAAAUUAUUCGGUUAAUUAUUCCCCUUCCAUUCUCAAGUCAUAAUGAUGAACAAUACCUCAAAAUAGAAAAUAUAGUUGGACGGCAUGUGAUAACAAAAAUGAACAUACAAUUAUAUAAAAUGCCACGAUUAUAAAUAGAUGACUUUAUAAGAUAGAAGAUUAACCCACUGUUUAUUGAACAACAAGCUGCCUAAUGGGAUAGAGUCACAGGUGGUUGUCCUGCCACCUUAUGUUGUGUGAUCAUCCAUGAUUUUCAAGCCGAGGUGAAUGGUAGAUCUGGAUAACAUCGGAUGGGUCUCGGGUUGUCUUGGAUGGAUAUAGAGGAGUGACCAAAAUAUGUUUGGAGUAUGUAUAGGAAAAGAUAAACAAAGGAUGAUAGCUAGGUUUAUGAGAAUGACUGAUUUCGGUGAUGGCUGCUGAUAGACGUGCAGAGUGUGGCGGAGAAAUACCGGCUGUUGAAGGGGGCAUGGAUGGAUGAGCACUUUGAACGUGGGAGCUCUCUUCUGUAUUGUAUGUGUUUUUCUUCACUGAAGGAGUUACCUUAGCUAGCUUUUAUAGGGGCUUGAGGC
Molecule: long non-coding RNA, 1063 nt
Filed under: Linum usitatissimum (flax)
Lineage: Eukaryota; Viridiplantae; Streptophyta; Magnoliopsida; Malpighiales; Linaceae
Description: long non-coding RNA (LUSI_LNC007105)
Source: RNAcentral